This 207-nucleotide long non-coding RNA is filed under the name Manihot esculenta (cassava). RNAcentral describes it as "long non-coding RNA (MESC_LNC011312)". The record is from RNAcentral. Lineage: Eukaryota; Viridiplantae; Streptophyta; Magnoliopsida; Malpighiales; Euphorbiaceae.
AUGGUCUUUGCAGGAAAGGAGAAGUGGACAGCAACAUCACUGAAGCAGAAAAAAUAGCAGACUGCUGUAACUUGCUGGGUAUGGGUGAUUUGCCCAGUGAUUUGCCCAGAUCACCAAAUAAUCUGCUCAAAUCACAGACCAAAUCACUGGAGCAGACAGACUUGAUAGAGAGUGAUUUGCCCAGAUCACCAGAUAAUCUGCCCAAAU